UACCAGCACCCCGAGUGGUCGGGACGAUUAUUGGGCCUAAAGCAUCCGUAGCCGGCCUUACAAGUCCUCCGUUAAAUCCAGCUGCUUAACAGAUGGGCUGCGGAGGAUACUAUAAGACUAGGAGGCAGGAGAGGCAAGCGGUACUCAGUGGGUAGGGGUAAAAUCCUCUGAUCCAUUGAAGACCACCAGUGGCGAAGGCGGCUCACUGGCCCGGUACUGACGCUGAGGUGCGAAAGCGUGGGGAGCAAACAGG
Molecule: ribosomal RNA, 253 nt
Filed under: uncultured bacterium
Lineage: Bacteria
Description: partial 16S ribosomal RNA
Rfam family: Archaeal small subunit ribosomal RNA
Source: RNAcentral